UAGGGAAUCUUCGGCAAUGGGGGGAACCCUGACCGAGCAACGCCGCGUGAGUGAAGAAGGUUUUCGGAUCGUAAAGCUCUGUUGUUAAGGAAGAACGAGUGUGAGAAUGGAAAGUUCAUGCUGUGACGGUACUUAACCAGAAAGGGACGGCUAACUACGUGCCAGCAGCCGCGGUAAUACGUAGGUCCCGAGCGUUGUCCGGAUUUAUUGGGCGUAAAGCGAGCGCAGGCGGUUAGAAAAGUCUGAAGUGAAAGGCAGUGGCUCAACCAUUGUAGGCUUUGGAAACUGGUUAACUUGAGUGCAGAAGGGGAGAGUGGAAUUCCAUGUGUAGCGGUGAAAGGCGUAGGUAUAUGGAGGAACACCGGUGGCGAAAGCGGCUCUCUGGUCUGUAACGGACGCUGAGGCUCGAAAGCGUGGGGAGCGAACAGG
Molecule: ribosomal RNA, 429 nt
Filed under: Bacteroidota bacterium
Lineage: Bacteria; Pseudomonadati; Bacteroidota
Description: Bacteroidetes bacterium partial 16S ribosomal RNA
Rfam family: Bacterial small subunit ribosomal RNA
Source: RNAcentral